This 433-nucleotide ribosomal RNA is filed under the name uncultured bacterium. RNAcentral's name for it is "partial 16S ribosomal RNA". It matches the Rfam family "Bacterial small subunit ribosomal RNA", at positions 29 to 507 of the family's 1533-position model. The record is from RNAcentral.
AACGAACGCUGGCGGCAUGCCUAACACAUGCAAGUCGAACGAGACCUUCGGGUCUAGUGGCGCACGGGUGCGUAACGCGUGGGAACCUUCCCUUAUGUUCGGAAUAACUCCCCGAAAGGGGUGCUAAUACCGGAUAAUGUCUUCGGACCAAAGAUUUAUCGCCUUUGGAUGGGCCCGCGUUGGAUUAGCUAGUUGGUAGGGUAAAAGCCUACCAAGGCGACGAUCCAUAGCUGGUCUGAGAGGAUGAUUAGCCACACUGGGACUGGGACACGGCCCAGACUCCUACGGGAUGCAGCAGUGGGGAAUAUUGGACAGUGGGCGAAGGCCUGAUCCAGCAAUGCCGGGUGAGUGAUGAAGGCCUUAGGGUUGUAAAGCUCUUUUAACCGGGAUGAUAAUGACAGUACCGGGAGAAUAAGCUCCGGCUAACUCCGUG